RNAcentral lists this ribosomal RNA (468 nucleotides) under uncultured bacterium. Its description in RNAcentral is "partial 16S ribosomal RNA". It matches the Rfam family "Bacterial small subunit ribosomal RNA", at positions 28 to 507 of the family's 1533-position model. The record is from RNAcentral.
GACGAACGCUGGCGGCGUGCUUAACACAUGCAAGUCGAACGGAAAGGCCCUGCUUUUGUGGGGUGCUCGAGUGGCGAACGGGUGAGUAACACGUGAGUAACCUGCCCUUGACUUUGGGAUAACUUCAGGAAACUGGGGCUAAUACCGGAUAGGAGCUCCUGCUGCAUGGUGGGGGUUGGAAAGUUUCGGCGGUUGGGGAUGGACUCGCGGCUUAUCAGCUUGUUGGUGGGGUAGUGGCUUACCAAGGCUUUGACGGGUAGCCGGCCUGAGAGGGUGACCGGCCACAUUGGGACUGAGAUACGGCCCAGACUCCUACGGGAGGCAGCAGUGGGGAAUAUUGCACAAUGGGCGGAAGCCUGAUGCAACAACGCCGCGUGCGGGAUGACGGCCUUCGGGUUGUAAACCGCUUUCGCCUGUGACGAAGCGUGAGUGACGGUAAUGGGUAAAGAAGCACCGGCUAACUAAGUG